CUGGCGGCACGCCUAACACAUGCAAGUCGAACGAAGUAGCAAUACUUAGUGGCAGACGGGUGAGUAACAUGUAGGUAUCUGCCCUUUGGCCUGGAAUAACACGAGGAAACUUGUGCUAAUACCGGAUAAGUCUUUACGGAGAAAGCUUUAUGCACCAUUGGAUGAGCCUGCACUUGAUUAGUUUGUUGGUGGGGUAAUGGCCUACCAAGACUGUGAUCAAUAGCUGAUUUGAGAGGAUGAUCAGCCACAUUGGGACUGAGACACGGCCCAAACUCCUACGGGAGGCAGCAGUGGGGAAUCUUGCACAAUGGAGGAAACUCUGAUGCAGCGAUGCCGCGUGAGUGAAGAAGGCCCUUGGGUUGUAAAGCUCUUUCGUCGGGGAAGAAAAUGACUGUACCCGAAUAAGAAGGUCCGGC
Molecule: ribosomal RNA, 416 nt
Filed under: uncultured bacterium
Lineage: Bacteria
Description: bacterial SSU rRNA
Rfam family: Bacterial small subunit ribosomal RNA
Source: RNAcentral